AUGGUUUUUUCCGCACAAGGUCCUCAGACAAGUAAUCAUGGAAAAGAAAGGCAUGGCAAAACCAUUGAUGAGGAAGGCAGCAGAAUGAGCUGCAAUUACUGCGGUGAGGUGGUUUGUAGUUACAGCCGUCUAGAGGAACAUUUAGCAGGCUUCAGGGGCAAUGUUCGUCCAUGCAACCUAGUACCGGACAGUGUCAGGACAAGCUUAAGGAGUUCACUUGUGGAUCGCAAGAAAGAUCAGAUGCUCGGAAAGACGAAGAGACUGAAGCAAGAACAUGAUGAGGUUCCUCACACAAACCCAGCCCUUCAAUCUCCUCAAGUCCAGCAACCACAGCUACAACCAACUGUGUCCAAUAACAACCGCUGCUUUGUUCAUUAUCAACCGGAUCUGACGCAGGCCAAGGAAAUCACAUAUAGUUCUUGUCAACCGAAACCCAAGGUUGAGACAAGUGAUUACUUCGAUUCUCAGUUGGCAAAGUCAAUAGGCAAGUUCUUCUCCGAAGCUGCACCUGAGCCUGGUGUUCUCCAUUCAUCAUCUUUGAAGGAGAUGGUUGUGUUUUCCCAUGGGCCUGGGCCUGUAAUGCCUACGUACGAAGCUGUUCUGCAGGAGCAACUAAGAGAAACUGAGAACCGCGCAAAGGAACUCAAGCAAGAGUGGCAAACAAGUGGCUGCACUGUAAUUGUGCAUAGUUGGAAGAGCAAGUGUACCAAAAGCUUCGUAAGUGUCCUGGUGCACUGCAGCAAAGGUACGCUGUUCCUGAGAUCCAUUGACGUCUCUGAAAUCACUGAGGACUUUGAUGAGCUAGAAUCAAUGCUUUCUCGCGUGGUUGAAGAUGUUGGUGCUCAUAACAUUGUUCAGAUUGUCAUGAAUGACGUGUCACCCCAUAUGCAGAUGGCACGGCAGUAUGUGCUAAAUAAAUAUGAUUGUUUUUUCUUCACACUAUGUGCUGACCAUUGCAUCAACCUUCUGCUUGAGAAAAUAGCAGCGCUCGAGCAUGUCAGUGAAGUCCAAAUGAAGGCAAGGGAAAUUACAAGGUUUUUAUAUGACCAUGCACUGCCAAUGAAACUGAAAGGAAGGUAUGUUCAGGAGGAGAUUUUGAGCAGUUCUUAUUUAAAAUUUGUGGCAAUGUUCAUCACAUUAGAGAGGUUAGUUUCUGCAAGAGUAGAUCUGGUGCAGAUGUUAAACUCGCCUAAAUGGAUUUCCUCUGGUUGGGCUUGUCUUGAUUUGUUCAAGCGUAUCCAGAGCAUAGUAAAGACAGACGAUGAAUUUUGGCAUGCUGCUGCAAAAGUCAUCAAGGUUACACACCCACUUGUCAGUGUGUUGUAUAAACUGGAAUAUGAUAUCUGUCCGAUGGGUAUCUUGUAUGAAGCCAUGGAUAGAGCAAAAGAAGAGAUAUCUCUCAAUAUCGGAGAUGAAAGUGACUUUUAUUGGUGUAUGAUUGAUCGGAUAUGGGAUGAUUACUUGCAUAGUCCUCUCCAUGCUGCUGGUCAGAUGCUAAACCCAAGGAUCUUUUACACAGCUGGAUUCAAGCCUGAUACUGAGAUCAGCAGCGGCAUCGCGGCCUGUACAAUCCAACUGGGCAAGGCUCAUUACAAUGCCAGAAAAGCAUCUGCACAAUUGAAAGUGUAUGAGAAGAAGUUGGGCUAUUUUGACACAGAUCCAGCAAUGCAGCAAAUCAUGGAAUUACCACAAGUUCAAUGGUGGUCGACGCACGGGGCUCGCGUGCCCGACCUGCAGACCCUGGCGAGGCGCGUCCUGAGCCAGACGUGCUUCGGCGCCACCAGGUACAACAUCGACUGUAGCCUGUCUGAGAAGCUGCACGCCGAGUGGGACGAGAUGACGCUGCUCGAGCAGGAGAGGUUCCAGCAGAAGGAGUACGUCCACUACAACAGCGUCCUCGCGCGCGCCUCCCCGCUCCUGCACGGCUCCUCCUUGAAGCAGCACAACAGGGUCACCUUGGUGCUGCACGACUGGAUCAGGCCGCAGAAACAAGCCGCUGGGCCGCCACUGACUGAGUGA
RNAcentral lists this ribosomal RNA (2019 nucleotides) under Triticum aestivum (bread wheat). RNAcentral's name for it is "partial small subunit ribosomal RNA". The record is from RNAcentral. Lineage: Eukaryota; Viridiplantae; Streptophyta; Magnoliopsida; Poales; Poaceae.